Mus musculus (house mouse) is the source of this 3381-nucleotide long non-coding RNA. RefSeq annotates it as predicted gene, 33950. The transcript is spliced from 2 exons. Lineage: Eukaryota; Metazoa; Chordata; Mammalia; Rodentia; Muridae. The record is from RefSeq and is a predicted model, not a curated record.
AGUUUCAACUUUUUCCUAUCUCCUUUUUCUAUCUCUACUCAGAACUCUAAAUUCUAUUAUAUAUUUCUUCUAGUUUCCUGACUAAUCUGUGCUUCCUUUAGCUUAUAACUCUCCCUCUACUCUCAACCUAUCUGACUUAAUUUGCUCACAGCAACCUCCUGUCCUAUCUCUAGUCCAUCUGAAUUCUCUAAGCUUAGCUAGCCCCCCUACUUGCUUGGGACUCACUUCUCUCAGACUCGUUCUGUGACAACUUGGUUGUCAACCUAAAUACAUCUAGAAUUAAUUAAAACCCAAGCAGCUGGGUAGACCUGUGAGGGAUUUUUUUCUUAAACCACUUGAAGUGGGAAGACCCACUUUUCAUCCAGAUCUUCUGAGGUGUGAAGAUCCACCUUUACUCCGGGCCACACUUUCUGCUGGAAGCCUCUAUAAAGGACACAGAGGGAAGCUUGUUCUCUUUGCCUGCUGGCUUCCCCUCUUGCUCUCAGUGACAAGUCCAUUUCUUCAUUGGCAUCAAGAGCCUACCUCUGGGAUUCUGAAGACCAGCAGAGACAUCCAGUGUCAUGGACAAAGUAAGAAUAACUACUGGCUUCUUAGAGCCACUGUCAAUGGUAGACAGCCUUUGUUGGACAAGCUGAACCAAAGCCUGUAAGCCAUUCUAAUAAGAAGCCUUUCUGUAUAUGGAUAUAGAUGUAUUCUAUAAGUUCUGUUCCUCUAGAAAAUCUGAAUAUACCCCCCCAAAUCUAAAAUCUUAUAUUAUUAAAAUAAACAAAACCAUACCCAACUCUGCAUUUUUCACCUACUUUUUUUCUUUUUGCUGUUUUGGUCCAAGCUUUUCUUCCUUGGUCUAAAAAGUUUUCUUUUGUACUACUUGAUCAAAGGGAAAACAUUUUUCCAAUUGCUCAAUGUAGGAGGCUUCGGUCUCAUUACGAGUUCAAUGGAGCAGUUACUUCAAGGAUUAUUUUAACUAAGCCUCUCUGACGAGUCCCCCGUGAGUCUCAGCUCACCUUCCAGUACAGGAGAUCUCUGCGCUCAUCUUCUCUCAUUCUUACAAUAAAGACUUUUUUUUUCAAUUUUUUAUUAGAUAUUUUCUUCAUUAACAUUUCAAAUGCCAUCCUGAAAGUCCCCUAUACCCUUUCCUUCCCCGCCCUGAUCCUCUACCCACUCACUCCCACUUCUUGGCCCUGGUGUUCCCCUAUACUGGGACAUAUAAAGUUUGCAAUACCAAGGGGCCUCUUUUCCCAAUGAUGGCUGACUAGGCCAUCUUCUGCUACAUAUGCAGCUAGAGACACGAGCUCUGGGGGUUACUGGUUAGUUCAUAUUGUUGUUCCACCUAUAGGGUUGCAGACCCCUUCAGUUCCUCAAUAAACACUUUUUAAUUCCUCCAAUUUAUAUUUUCCUUUUUGUAAUUUCAAAGAUUUCUGUAACAUCAAUAGCCACCUAUACACAGGACUCCCAAGCCUGUGACUUAUUCUUUUCUCUCUGAGCUCGUCGAGGCCUUUAGAAACUCCAUGCAUACAUCUCUCUUAGCUAUCCCACAGGAAAGUUCAAGACAGAGGCGCUCAACUGCAUUCAUCAUUUAUUCUCCGUCCACUCCACCCCCCCACUACUCUCUCUUGAAUAACCAGAUUGGUUAGCCAGAGCCAGACUUGGGAAGAACUAGGACACACUCCUCCACUCUCAGGCCUCACAAUCUAUAGGCAGAUCUUAUCAAAUAACCCUUUCAGCUCUGCAUUCUUGCUUUCUUACUUUAAAUAUUCUUGCUUGCUAUCUGGCACCCUUUCAAAAUCACAGGUUCCCGACCGCCUGCCUGCAGGAUGAUGCUGGAGUUCUUUAGUAUAGUAACAGACAAGCCGGAACAAUCGUUUCCAACCUCUAUUCACCUAUGUUCUUACAUUCUACCUAAGGUCACUCACGAAACAUUACAAACUGGCUUUCAGGCAGUUCCUUCUUUGGGUAAUCGUCUUCCCUCCUUUUCUACUUUAGUAUCUUCUUCACAAAGCUCUGAUGGUUGGGGAUGGACUUAGCCUUUUCAGUCUGUGCCUCCCAUGAAAUCCUGGGUAGAUAAGUUACAGCAGAUAACCUCAUGCUGAGUACAGUUACCUUUCCUGAUCAGGAUUCAAAUUAGCAAUUUUGCUAUUAGAAUCUAUACAGACCGGGGCAAAAAAACAAUAGCCAUGAGUUUAUGUCAUCAACAAAGACAGGUAGAAACGCAGCGAUGUGUAAAUAAAACAAACGAACACCUGAUACACAACUGCUUGAAAAAAAAAUGGUAUUGUUAUUAAGGGUCUAUAAAUUAUGCAAGCCUACAUUUAAGAAAAAAUACCUCGAAAAGAUAACUCUAAGAUGAUAAACAGAUAAUGAUAUUUCUGGUAACAUUUAGAAUCUACUCAACUAGUUGGGGUCGGGGCAAGGAAGAAAGGAGGAUUGGACGGGGCAAGAAUCUGCAAGGAGGUACAAAAACUGGGAACACGAUUUUUAAUUUCUUUGGUACACUCUAAUCUCCAAUCAACAACCAUUACCAUGUCAUCUGCCCAUUCUGGAAAUCGUGUACACUUUUUAAAAUUUGCCACUCUGCUGUAACUGUCGAGUUUUGUGAAGUGCACAGGUCCGUGGUAGAUCGAGAUUCGCAGAUUAACAAACUAGAGACCCGGCCCCUUCGUAUCUACUGCCUAGAGCCGACGCCUUCCAAAACCACUGGGUGGAUAAAAACAUCAGGCCACACGCCUACUACAGCCAACACGGCCAGUCUUCGUGGCCUAGGCAGGGAAUGCCUCAGGGUUAGCCUGGCACAGGUUCCCCACCGCCGGGCACAGCCCACCGCCCCGGGCCUGCGGGCCGCUUGCUCCCGCCCAGCGCGGCCUGCCGCCACUCACAAGAAGUUCUCCAUGGCGAUGCGGACGAUUGAGCCCUCGACGAAGGUCCCGGACGGCCGCGGCAGCGUCGGCAACGGGUUCGAGUUCUUUCUCUUGCUCGGGACCUCGGAGGAAGCAUCUCUCGGGAGAGACCGCUUGGAAACCUGGGGGUUGGGGGGAGCAGCCUUCCCGCUCGGAGUCGCCAUCCUGGCUUCCUCCGCGUCCCGCAGCGGCUUCCGUUCCCGGCGAGCCGCAGCCCAGGAGCCUCCGCGCCCGGCUCCCGCGCUAACUGACCCCGCCUGACCCCGCCCCCGCGGCCCCGAUGCGCUUGCGCGGUUCCGCCCCGCAAACCCGAGGCCACGCCCCGACCAACGCUCCCCGGUGGCCUCAGAGUUUCCUUCCCUGGUGCUCAAAUGAACUCCAAAGAAAAGAUGCCUGUUGACUGUGCCUGUUGUUGGAAGCAUGGCACUAACAACCAUCUGAUGCUCUCAAGAUUGUGAAGAGUGUAUUAAUUACUUGCCCACUCACA